Molecule: ribosomal RNA, 429 nt
Filed under: Acidobacteriota bacterium
Lineage: Bacteria; Pseudomonadati; Acidobacteriota
Description: Acidobacteria bacterium partial 16S ribosomal RNA
Rfam family: Bacterial small subunit ribosomal RNA
Source: RNAcentral
UGGGGAAUUUUGGACAAUGGGGGAAUCCCUGAUCCAGCCAUCCCGCGUGUGCGAUGAAGGCCUUCGGGUUGUAAAGCACUUUUGGCAGGAAAGAAACGUCAUGGGUUAAUACCCCGUGAAACUGACGGUACCUGCAGAAUAAGCACCGGCUAACUACGUGCCAGCAGCCGCGGUAAUACGUAGGGUGCAAGCGUUAAUCGGAAUUACUGGGCGUAAAGCGUGCGCAGGCGGUUCGGAAAGAAAGAUGUGAAAUCCCAGAGCUCAACUUUGGAACUGCAUUUUUAACUACCGGGCUAGAGUGUGUCAGAGGGAGGUGGAAUUCCGCGUGUAGCAGUGAAAUGCGUAGAUAUGCGGAGGAACACCGAUGGCGAAGGCAGCCUCCUGGGAUAACACUGACGCUCAUGCACGAAAGCGUGGGGAGCAAACAGG